CCUACGGGUGGCUGCAGUGGGGAAUAUUGGACAAUGGGGGGAACCCUGAUCCAGCCAUGCCGCGUGUGUGAAGAAGGCCCUCGGGUUGUAAAGCACUUUCAGUGAGGAAGAACGCCUGGUGGUUAAUACCCAUCAGGAAAGACAUCACUCACAGAAGAAGCACCGGCUAACUCCGUGCCAGCAGCCGCGGUAAUACGGAGGGUGCGAGCGUUAAUCGGAAUUACUGGGCGUAAAGCGCGCGUAGGUGGCUUGAUAAGCCGGUUGUGAAAGCCCCGGGCUCAACCUGGGAACGGCAUCCGGAACUGUCAAGCUAGAGAGCAGGAGAGGAAGGUAGAAUUCCCGGUGUAGCGGUGAAAUGCGUAGAGAUCGGGAGGAAUACCAGUGGCGAAGGCGGCCUUCUGGACUGACACUGACACUGAGGUGCGAAAGCGUGGGUAGCAAACAGGAUUAGAUACCCUAGUAGUC
This 465-nucleotide ribosomal RNA is filed under the name Vreelandella stevensii. RNAcentral's name for it is "partial 16S ribosomal RNA". It matches the Rfam family "Bacterial small subunit ribosomal RNA", at positions 338 to 795 of the family's 1533-position model. The record is from RNAcentral. Lineage: Bacteria; Pseudomonadati; Pseudomonadota; Gammaproteobacteria; Oceanospirillales; Halomonadaceae.